This 607-nucleotide long non-coding RNA is filed under the name Pan troglodytes (chimpanzee). Its description in RNAcentral is "lncRNA (ENSPTRG00000053076.1)". The record is from RNAcentral. Lineage: Eukaryota; Metazoa; Chordata; Mammalia; Primates; Hominidae.
UUUAGUUAUUUUUUAACUCCAUGGAUCCCAAGCUUUGAUUUUUGUUUUCCAAACAAAUUGCAUUUAUAAAUAAUAAUUUUUAUUUAUAAUCAACAGACAUCUAGGCUUGCUGUCAAGGCUUCUGAUCAACAUGAGAUGACCGCCGUGUGGUAAACUGAUGAACCCCGACCCUGAUCAACAUGAGAUGGCCGCCGUGUGGUAAACUGAUGAACCCUGACCCAUUAGGCUUUGGCUACAGAAUGUGGAAAUAAGUUGUGUUACUACAUGUGUGUAAUCCUACGGUGCAGGACACCGGCCGGGAGGUUCCAUAGAGUGAUGGGUUGUGCAGGACGCCCUGCUCCUGUGGUUUGCAGCCCCGGCCUUCUCUUCGAGGAUGCCUCUGCUCUUCUGCCUCACACUUGGAUUGGACCUUCUUCAGCACAGCCAGUGGCUGAGGCUUCCUCCCUGGGGCUCAGUGGAGCAGGACAGAUGCUGCAUCAAACUCUUCCAUUGGGUUCCAGUCUUGUUCCAGUCAUGCCCUUGAGCCUCUAAAGCUCCUAGGUAAGAGACUAGCAGCUGACAGCACUUCCCACUUGAUUUGGGUGGACUCCAGCCUCCCAGCAACAAU